This 641-nucleotide long non-coding RNA is filed under the name Mytilus galloprovincialis (Mediterranean mussel). The record is from RNAcentral. Lineage: Eukaryota; Metazoa; Mollusca; Bivalvia; Mytilida; Mytilidae.
UUUCUCCAAAAGAUCUGUUGAACGUAAGUAAGAUUUUGAUGGAUUCUUCACGCGGUCAGUUAAGAAACAGAAUCGUAUCCGCCAGGUCAACAAGAAAAAACGAAUGGCAUACUGCAGAGGAAAUCUACAUAAAACAGGAAAUGCAAACUGGAGUAAAGUGAUAUUCAAUGAUAAGUGCAACGUAGUCAUCUGGCAAAAUUCCUCAGUCAGUGUCUAGAGAAAAGUCGGAGAAGAGUGGUUAAUGGAUUGUAUUUGCCCUCCGUUCCAGCGCAACUAUAGUUUGAUGAUAUGGGGAUGUAUUACUUACUAUGGCAUGUGAACUAUAACUUUUCUUGAAGGGAGCAUAAAUGCCUUAAAAUACAUUGACAUAAUUGACAACAAAGUGUGGUCAGUGAUUAUUAAUCUUAGGUGAGUUUUUAAACUCGUCGAAUAAUCUCACAAUAGAGGAAACUAAAAUUUCGGCGACUUUUUUAGAAGGUUUAUUCGAAUGACCAUUAACAAAAGGCGAAACAUCAAUAUCAAGGUAAUCAAUUUUACAUUUAGUGUACCUAAUAUAUCAGCACUGUGUGGUGUGGUCUAAUUUUGUUAAAAAUAUUGACGAAAAAAAAAAAGUAGGCACGUAAAACUAUGGAACGCCACAG